Long non-coding RNA from Cucumis sativus (cucumber), 3934 nucleotides. RefSeq annotates it as pentatricopeptide repeat-containing protein At5g12100, mitochondrial. NCBI's taxonomy places the organism in Eukaryota, Viridiplantae, Streptophyta, Magnoliopsida, Cucurbitales, Cucurbitaceae. The record is from RefSeq and is a predicted model, not a curated record. The transcript has 3 exons.
AGUAACCUAGGGGGACUGACGCUUUGUUAAUUCGUUCAUUCUUCACUCUUUUUCUAAUAUCCUCUAUUUGGUUAUCUCCCAUCUUUGUAGCGGGGGGCUCACAGCUACACAUCGCUACCCAACCACCCACAAUGUAACUCUUUUUCUUCCCUUCUUCUUUUGUGCAGAUAUGUAAGUAUGCUUUCAUUUGCAAACUGGGCAUUAUCGCAUUUACAAAAUCUUUAAAGCUGAAAAUGGGAAGCCAUGGAUAUUACUUACCUAGAAUUCCUAUCACUAGACGAUUCAGAACACACCCUUUUGUUUUUAUUCCCAGCUCGCUACCAUUUUGCUCUGAUUCUACUUCUACUUCUACUUCUACCCAGAACCAGAACAAUUUUAAUCAAUUUGAACACGUUUCUAGUCUUCAGGAAGUAACAUUGAGCACCACCAGCAGCCAACAUUCUAACCCUUUAGAACCUUUGUGCCUUGAGUUAGUUCAAAAGCUUCGGAUUUUACUUCAACAGGGGCGUACGGGUGCUGCCGAGAGCCUCAUUAAGUCGGUAAUUCUCUCCAAAUCUCCUUUCUCAUCACCUUCUGAUCUCAUUCCGCUUUUUUCUGUCCAUGCUCCAUCCUUGAAUCAUGUUUUUUCAAAGACGUUGUUUAUGGUGUUUUUGGAUCUCAAAAUGACUGAUGAUGCUAUAAGAUUAUGCACCUCAAUGAAGAAAAAUGGUGUUGUUCCUGCCGUGGUGGAUACCCUUAAUGUUUUAUUUAAACUUUUAAUGUCUUCAAAAGAGUUUAAGAAAACGCUUGACUUCUUUUCUGAACUUGUUGAAUCUGGUAUUCUACCAGAUAAAUUCAUGUAUGGUAAGGCAGUUGAGGCCGCGAUGAAACUAGGGAACAUGAAUAAGGCAUGUGAUCUGGUGUGUUGCAUGAAGAAGAUAGGGAUUGAUCCUACUUUCUUUGUUUAUAAUGUGUUAAUCUCUGGCUUUUGCAAAGAAAAGAAAAUGGUUGAUGCACAAAAGAUAUUUGAUGAAAUGAUCACCAAAAACAUGUCCCCGAAUUUGGUUACUUAUAAUACAAUUAUCAAUGGAUAUUGUAAGGCGGGAAAACUGGAUAAAGCUUUUAGUUUGAAGGAGAGGAUGAAGCUUGAAAAUUUGGGACCUAAUCUUGUAACAUACAACUCUUUGCUAAGUGGGCUCUGUAAGGCAAGGCAGAUGGAAGAAGCCAAAAAGUUAUUGGUUGAGAUGGAAACUCAUGGGUUUGCACCAGAUGGAUUUACCUAUAGCAUACUUUUUGAUGGGUAUCUGAGGUCUGGCGACGGUGAAGCCUCAGUGGUUCUGUUUGAAGAAGCAGUUAAAAAAGGGGUGAGAAUAAAUGAAUACACUUGUUGUAUUUUGUUGAAUGGGUUAUGUAAAGAUGGUAAGGCAGAAAAAGCUGAGGAAUUUCUGACGAAGUUAAUGAUGAAUGGAUUGGUUCCGAAUGAAAUAAUUUUUAAUGUACUAGUGGAUGGGUAUUGCCGAAAAGGAAAUAUUGAUGGUGCUAUAUCAACCAUCCAAAGGAUGGAAAAUCAAGGCUUAACACCCAAUUGCAUCACUUUUAAUUCGUUGAUCCAUAAAUUUUGUGAAAUAAAAGAGAUGGACAAGGCAGAGGAGUGGUUGAGAAAGAUGAUGGAGAGGGAAGUUUGCCCUAGUAUUGAAACCUAUAACACCCUUCUUGAUGGUUAUGGACGGAUGCGUCUUUUUGAUAGAUGUUUCCAAGUUCUCGAAGAAAUGGAAAGUAAAGGGAUAAAGCCAAAUGUUGUAAGCUAUGGAGCUCUCAUUAACUGUCUGUGCAAAGUUGGUAGAUUUGUUGAAGCUGAAGCAGUUUUUGCUGAUAUGGAUGGAAAAGGAGUAUUUCCAAAUGCUCAAAUUUAUAAUAUGCUGAUUGAUUGUAAUUGCACAUCAGGGAAGAUGCAAGAUGCUUUCAAGACUUUUGAUGAAAUGAUUGAUAGGGACAUCACCCCAACCCUUGCAACAUACAAUUCACUCAUCAAUGGAUUGUGCAAGAAAGGGAGGGUGAUUGAAGCAGAAGAGUUAGCCAACCAAAUUACAAAGAGUGGUCUUACACCUGAUGUGAUCACAUACAACUCCCUUAUCUCUGGUUAUUGUAGUUCUGGGAACUCUAAAAAAGGCCUUGAGUUAUAUGAAACUAUGAAAAAGCAAGGCAUCAAUCCUACAUUAAUAACCUAUCAUCUUUUAAUAUCCGGACGUAGCAAGGUUGGUCUAGAUACUAUGGAGGAACUGUUCAAUGAAGUGUUACACAGGGAUCUUGCUCUAGAUAAAGUUGUAUAUAAUGGACUGAUUUUUUGCUAUGUAGAAAACGGAGAUGUUCAGAAGGCAUUUGUUUUGUACAAUAAGAUGAUAGUUGAAGGAGUCCAACUAGACAAGAUAACUUACAACAGCUUGAUUUUAGGAUGCUCCAGAGGUGGUAAGGUUACAGAAGUAAGGAAACUUGUCGAGGAUAUGAAGGCUAGAGGGUUGACUCCUAAGGCUGACACUUACAAUAUCUUAGUUAAGGGACUUUGUGAAUUUGGUGAUUAUAGUGAGGCACAUACAUGGUAUAAAGAGAUGUUUGAAAACAACUUAUUGUUAAAUUCCCCUGUUCGCAAUCAACUCAUUGAUGGUCUCAAGAGAGAGGGGAGGUUUCAGGAAGCGCGACUUAUUUUGUCUGAGACGUAUGUCUGAAUUUUGAGUAAUGAGCCUUCUGCAUCUAUGACUAUGACUAUGACUGUGUGUAACAACUCUCAACUGAGAGUUCGCACUUAGAUUACUUAGGAAAAAUACAGUGGGCUCCUUUCAAGAGGGAGUUCCUCUCCAAGUGCAGUACCAAAAUAUCACAGACCAAAAAACAUAAGUCCCACUACAACACAAAAGUAAUAUAUAUAACAGUACACGUCACCCAACCCUACUUAACACUGGUUCGGUCUACCCCUUCUCACAUAUGUGUGUAUGAUGGGUGGUCAAAGACUAUGUAGUUUAAACAUUUGCUUUAAAGAACCUGUGAACACAUAUGGCUAUCACUGUUGAAAAGUGUUUCUACAGGUGGAUUAUGUUGCUAUGGUUCAUGGCAACAUAAUCCAACGUCUUAUAUCUGAUGACACAGCUGCCGAGUGACUUGAUGUUUUGAUAGCAUCUAUCAUGGUGGUUGUGGCUGUGUUUGUGAAGAGACCAGUUGCCAACAUUGUAUCACAUGCAUUUAAACAUAGUUGCGGUGGUGUUUGCUUGAAUUGGAGAAUUGAAUUUGUUCUUUGCCGUGCUCUCCGAAUCUUCAUCUCAUAGGAAAAGAAAGACGAUAGGUUUUUACGUAGCACAUAUUUGGUUCUCUUGGUGUGAAAUCACAAGCAGUAAAUAUUGUGAUCGAAAGUUGUUGAGGCUUUCAAUGAAACCGAAUAAUUUUUCCGUUCUCACACCAAUUUUGUAGUAUUAGCUUAGUAACAGGUCGAUCUGAGAUAACCAACCGCUUUUUCUUUAAGACGAACCACACAAAUUAUGAGUGAAUCAAAGAAAAAAAGGACAAAGAACACAAAUCUAAAGAUGAUGGUUGAAAGUUAUCAACGAAAUAAAACACAACGGUGUUGUGGCACCCUAGGGCAGUGUUGCGGGACCAAGCCGCGCGCGAAUAGUUCCAUUAAACUUCAGAGAGUCAUGGUGCCCAAGUGCACUGUUGCGACGUUGUGUGUCACAGUCAUGCUUGUUCAAGGCAUGUUGCAUGUGGUCCUAUGAUCACUCUGACUCCUCGCAUUGUCUUUUUUUAUUUUUCAAAUACUUUUAUUAAGUAUGUCAUCUCACACAUUAAUGUACGCGAGCCUUCCCGUUCCCUUUUUGUUCAGAAUAUGCUAUAUGGGGAUAAGAUUUAUCAUUGUACUUUUAUACCCAUGAGUUAAAAGAUAUAAAGUUUUUGUCCCUUAUUGCUUAUA